ACAUUUCUUUAAGUUAAUUAUUUAAGGUAGGUUCUGCCCUAUGAUUAAUUUUAAAUGGCUGCAGUAUUUUGACUGUGCAAAGGUAGCAUAAUAAAUAGCCUUUUAAUUGGAGGCUGGUAUGAAUGAAUUAAUGAGAAAUUAAUUUUAUUAAAGUUAUUAUUUGAAUUUAAUUUUUAAGUCAAAAAGCUUAAGUUUAUGUUUGGGACGAUAAGACCCUAUAGAACUUUAUAUAAGUUAAAGUCUACUAUUAUUUUUGGUAAUAUUUUUAAUACAUUUUAUUUUAUGUUUUGCUGGGGUGGUAGUUAAAUAAUAAAAACUUUAAUUUUGCUUUUCAUUUAUAAAUGAUUUUUUGAUCCUUUAUUUUUAGAUUAUAAGAUUAAGUUACCUUAGGGAUAACAGCGUAAUUUUAAUGGUAAGUUCUUAUUUAUAUUAAAGUUUGCGACCUCGAUGUUGAAUUAAGAUUAGACUAAGGGGUAGGUUCUUUAAAUUCUAAGUCUGUUCGACUUUUAAAUUCUUACGUGAUCUG
This 526-nucleotide ribosomal RNA is filed under the name Chileanoscopus hichinsi. RNAcentral describes it as "partial large subunit ribosomal RNA". It matches the Rfam family "Archaeal large subunit ribosomal RNA", at positions 1905 to 2676 of the family's 2987-position model. The record is from RNAcentral. Lineage: Eukaryota; Metazoa; Arthropoda; Insecta; Hemiptera; Cicadellidae.